Molecule: ribosomal RNA, 497 nt
Filed under: uncultured bacterium
Lineage: Bacteria
Description: partial 16S ribosomal RNA
Rfam family: Bacterial small subunit ribosomal RNA
Source: RNAcentral
GAUGAACGCUGGCGGCGUGCCUAAUACAUGCAAGUCGAGCGAACAGACGAGGAGCUUGCUCCCCUGACGUUAGCGGCGGACGGGUGAGUAACACGUGGUUAACAUAACUAUCAGACUGGGAUAACUUUGGGAAACCGGAGCUACUACCGGAUAAUAUAUUGCACCGCAUGGUUCAAUAGUGAAAGACGGUUUUGCUGUCACUUAUAGAUUGACCCGCGCCGCAUUAGCUAGUUGGUAGGGUAACGGAUUACCAACGCAACGAUGCGAAGCCGACCUGAGAGGGUGAUCGGCCACACUGGAAGAGAGACAGAGUCCAGACUCCGGCAGUAGGCAGCGGUAGGGACUCUUCCGCAAGGGGGGAAUGCGUGACGGUGCAACGCCGCGUGAGGGAUGAAGGUGCUAUGACGGGAGAACUAUGUUAUUAGUGAAGUUGAAAUGUGUAAGUAACUAUGCAGGUCUUGACGGUACCGAGUGAGAAAGCCACGGCUAACUACGUG